Molecule: long non-coding RNA, 505 nt
Organism: Panicum hallii
Lineage: Eukaryota; Viridiplantae; Streptophyta; Magnoliopsida; Poales; Poaceae
Exons: 3
Source: RefSeq, a predicted model, not a curated record
GCGAGGCGACACGCGGACGCACCACCCGCUGGCGGUGGCGCCGCCGAGGCCGAGCCAUGUCGUCCGCGCCCACGCGCUCACGCCCCCCGGCUUCCGCCUCGGGCUGCGGCAGGCGCCUGGCGGAGGAGACGAAGCGGCCCUUCCGGCCCGCGCCGGACGACACCAAGCCGGUUCUCCGCGACCCGAUUUCCCGGUCGUGCUGGUGCCCAGCCUCGAGUCUCAACUGGAUCCCGAUGGGAGAUUUCAAUAAAAAAAAUCCUAAGAAACUGGAACCUGAAAACCAGUAGCGAUCGCGCUUACAAGCUAAACAACUUCAUGAUCGAAUCUUCAAAUUCAGUACACAAAUAUCUCACACUGGGCAGAAAUGUUACCAGAGCUCAUAACAGGAACGGGCAGGCAAAAUGUAGUGGAAGUUUGCUGCAGCCGAUGCUGUCCUACUGCGGAAGAAGCGAACGGAGGGCUAGUGAUACAAUCAAUCAAUGGGAACAAUGUGCGUUCUCGCUCA